UAGGAUACAAGUUUUAAAACAAGCCCAAUUCAGAUGCAAUUGGAAUCAGUACAUUAAAAUUAGGUUUGAAUAAAAUGUCACCCCAAGGAACAAUGAAAACAACACUUUGGUUGUAAAUUGGGAAAAAAUCAACAGGGAGCUGAAGGCAUGCUCAAUGAGGAAACAGUCUGCUCAAGGCCGGAGCAUAGGCUGAAGUUCAAAAUGAGGGCAUGCAUCCCUCUUGACCCUUUCCAGGAAAGUAGAUGAGAACAUCUGCAAUGGGGCUUUCUAUGGAAAGCCAAUGGGUACAAGUUCAGCUCAAGACCUUGAGCCAGCUGGAGAGGUAUGUCCUACAUAAUGAGGUGCUUUCAAAUGACCUCGCUCUGAAACCCUUGCUCUUAUUUUCUGUGAUGCUCACUCUCUUUCUGUCUCUGUUCAGAAACUCGGAGUCUCUCCUAGAAAUAUGUCGCCAGUUAAGGAUCUCUGCGUGCAAUUUUGAAGCCUUGAGUCACGGUCCACCAAAUCUCUUAACGACUCUCCAGUUGCCAACAAAGCGUGGCAGCAGAAGUUCCCCCCUGCGGUCUCAAAGAAAGGAAAGCAGCCUGAAAGUUGGUCAUGAUCUAAAUGACUGAAGCCCUGCUUCUUCGGACGAUCUCCCAGAGGGCUACAGAAGACCACACUGAAGUCAAAACCUCUCUCUCUCUGGCCUAGGGUCGACUAGUCUCUUAAAGCAAUAAAUCAUGUUAAAAAGCAAACCUCCUUUUUGAGCAAAGUUUGUUUUUUAUUUAGACUCGUACAAAGAAGAGUAUUCAAACAAGUUCAGUAGGUGCUUUACACACAAUGACGAGUUUCUCUAAAAUUAGCGCAUGACUACAAGUGAUCCUUGAUAUAGGUGUGUUGACAAACAAUGAGUUAAAGUUUCUGAUACAGUGCAUAGUCAGCAUGCCAUUGGUCCUAUAGUAUGCACCUGUACAUACACGCAUUCGACUUUACAAUGACCGGUGCCAUUGUGUGUGGCAAAAGCCCCGGUUACCAAGGGUAACAAUCCUUUUUUUUUCUUAUAAUCGCCUUUGUCUUGGCUUCUGUCAUUGGCUCAUAAAUCUCUGGUAAAUCGCCACUGAAGACAGGCCUUAUUAAGCGUCCAUUGUGAUGCGUUUUUAAAGCCACCGGGUGUUCUACGAAGUCUCAGGCCAUCGCCGGCACGUUCUGCUCUGUCUGUCUGAAUGUUACACUUCUAGAAUACUAACUAUGUGCCUGUCAGUAGACCCCGGCUUCUUUUCCCCAUCCAAAUGGGGCCCCAACAGUCGUCGCGCUCUACUAGAAUAUCUAAGUACUUCUGAGAAGCAGGAUUUGUUUAGUUUUUUUUUCUCCACACAUAAUUAAUACAGAAAUUAAACAUGACACGGACAGAUUGGCAUUAACUCAAGUUACUUGACUGAAUUGCACAUUUUAGCCUCCUUUUGGGGCUAAUCUCAUCAGAAAAGUACUUUUUAUGUUAAAUUUGAUUAUUGUCAAAUAAAGGCUGAUAAAAUGCCCCCAUGUGUCGGUGGAACAUUCAGUCUGCAGAGUUUUCAUUACUGCGCUAAUGGCGCUAAAUGAGGGAGUAGCAAUGUUUGGUUGGUGUAAACCAGGGAUUUGUUUGUCCUUGCAGACUCUGAUAAUGGGGUAAAAUGGAGGUGUUUACACAUCUUUUAGGACAACACUGUGAGCAUCCCAUCUGGUCAGAGCAACAACAGUGAGCACAGGAUAUUUAUGUUACUGCUGGAGAAUGCUCAUUUGGCAACAGCUGUGUGUGAACUAGAAAGCCGGGUAUAUAUGUGUCUUUAUUGUCAACAUCUCACACAAUUCUAUUCGUCUUUUCUUGCUUUUUCAGCUUCUCAAUGUGUUGAAUUGAUGACUGUCCCUUCGGGGAAAAAAAGAUAUUUAAUCCUUUAGCAAACACCACAGUGAAGUUUAAUCCUUAAAAAUAUUUUCCUAAGGAUUUCUAUUCAUGUACAACUGAAACUCCAUCAUAACCAGGGCCUGUGAAAUAGGCCAGGAGAUAUGUCAAACCCUUCUCAGAUUUAUUAGAGAAGUAAGCGCCUUACGCGUUACGCAAAAUUUAUUGUGAGAAGUGAAUCAUUGCUUGGCCUAGUUUGAUUUACUUAGGAACUACAAAAAUAAAAAGCUACCCUGUGCUCCCUACUCAAUUUAAUUGCAGGACGACAAAUUCUAAACAUUUCUUAAAUAUCUCAGUCACUUUAUAUUGGUAAAAUGUAUCUAGAGCUUUGUCCUCAUUUUUGUAAGGUUGAACCAGUCCGUGUAACACUGGAAACUAUCCAUGCCUUCUUUGGGCCUGGCAAAAAUAACGUAACUUGAAUCCGCAAAGAAUUAUCAGAGAAAAGCAGCCAUAGUUAGCUAUAAUUAUAUGUUCUACAUAAAAACCAUGAUAUUAAAAUGAGAACUAGAGGGAAAGACAGAAGGAAAUUGAAUAAGAAUAAGGACAGAACAAGAAGGAGAGGGAAAAAACAGAGGGGUGAGAGAGUGAGAUGUUGUGGAUCUUGGCAAUGGAAAAUGUCACAGGAGGUUUAGCAAGGGGAGCCCGAGAGGAGACACACAUUUGGUUGCAGGGUAUUGCUUUACAGUUAAUAUCUGUUAUUGUUGAUGAAAGGGCUCUCCAGAACUACAUGUAUCAACGUGUGAGGGAAAAGAAGAUUGGGGCUGGUAUAAACUAAACUGUUGUCCCAAAAGCCGGCACCAGUCAGUCAGCUCAGUCCGACACCUAAUCUAAAUGGAUUUUGUCAAUCACAGUUACUUAUAAAUAGGUCAGAUGCAACUCUGUUUAAAUCCAAUGGUGACAACAUGGGAGCUUCUGCCAUUACCCUCCCUGUUGUGUUUACAGUCUCACAGUGUGACCGUGAAUUAACCUCGCUUUCUUUUUCCUUUCAGAGGUAGAGCAUUUAUUUUAAACAAUCAGUCUUAUCUCACCAAGUGGUAUCGUUUUACAGGUUUUGCUGUUCAAAGAUCACUUUUAUAUUGAGAGU
Long non-coding RNA from Carassius auratus (goldfish), 3002 nucleotides. RefSeq lists it as uncharacterized. The record is from RefSeq and is a predicted model, not a curated record. Lineage: Eukaryota; Metazoa; Chordata; Actinopteri; Cypriniformes; Cyprinidae. The transcript has 3 exons.